Molecule: long non-coding RNA, 1236 nt
Filed under: Cicer arietinum (chickpea)
Lineage: Eukaryota; Viridiplantae; Streptophyta; Magnoliopsida; Fabales; Fabaceae
Description: long non-coding RNA (CARI_LNC003767)
Source: RNAcentral
CCAUCCUGACAUGCGGAGGCUGCCAGUGCAUUGUAUCUAACCACACUGUGGCAAAUCGAUACAGGUUGCUAAACAGCUUACUAUACCAUACAAAGGCAUAUCCGGCUGUUAUAGAAUCCCCUGCUAUUGAAUAUGAGUAACUAUCCAAUUCCAUAAUAGAAAGAGAUGGGACUAGUUGGUUUUAUUCCUUAACUUAAAUCAAGGAUCUUAGAUCUUGCCGCUGUGAUCUUUUCUCUUGUUUCAGAAGCUGGGAUUGGGCCGGCUUUCCUUUCUUAACCAGGCUCAAGGGAAGUUAGAAGUCAAAGAAGCCUUGGUGCCUAGCGAAAGCGAGUUCUUCUUUCUUUUCUUGCUCGAAGGGUAAGCGGAUCAGAGUCAAUUCGAUCUUUUCGGCACUUUCGAAUGAUUGUGUUUAACACCCUAACGAUUCUGUGAAAGGGGAUUCAUAUUACUGUUGAGCUGACUAAACUCAGUUGUCGGUUAGCGGGUGCAGGUCAAACGAGGAAAGAAAGAAGAGUUCCGGUACAACCAGACGAAAUAUCACUGAUCAUCCAGGCACAGAAACUCAACCAACUGUAGAUGCAAUCUUAAUGCAUUCUGGGAUGAAGGAAUAACCGAUCUUCCCCACCUCGACUCUCACUCAACCGGUGGAACAGCUCCCCGAAACAGCGAGAGAAGCCGGAAAAGCUGAACUCGGGGAGCCCUCAGAACCUCAACCGGUUUCGUCAAAAGACAAAGGAAAAGCACCUAUCCGGGAGGAAGAGGAAGCCGAAGAUACAGAAAGAACCGUCUCCAGCGCACCAAUGGGAAACGGGGCCCCCGAAAGGAUUCUGAUCAUAGUCGUUCAGCGCGUCAAGUUGACACUAUAGCUACAGGCAAGUGUUUAAGGUCGUGAUUUCUCAUUCAAUGGCCUCACAAUUUUAAUUCCCAUGUACAAUACGACAUCGGGGAUUUCACCCGCAGGCUAUACUGUCAAGCAAGGAAGGCGACCUCAAAGACUGGCGGAUUACCCUCGAAACAAAGGAUUUUUAUAUUCCUUCUGCUUUGGACAAGAUAAGUGGACAGAUGAGUUGAAUAAUACAAGGACAGAUAAGCUAGGCGAGGUUCCCCUUUGAUAUCUCCCAACCUAAAGGUUUAUUCAGAGGUGGGUCUUUCAACCGCCUACUCUUUCGAUGAAGGGUGCACUACAAGACCAUCGGUACUAAAAAGAUAAAAUGGGGCUGGGGGAAUUACUUCAAC